UAUAAUAGUUUGUGAUUUUGUAUAUAUUGUAGUAUAUAAACAAUUAAUGUAUCAUAUAUAGUAUAUAUAUUCAGUAUAUUUAGUGUUGCUUGUUUGGUAUAUUACUAGAAAUUAAUAGAUUAAAUCAGUAUUCAGAAGAGACCAUUUGACAAGAUAAGUGAAUAAUUUUACCUUCUGUAAUCCUUAGGUUGAUGACUUCAUUGUGAGGUAGAAUUCAUUUCUUGCACUACCCUUUGCAGUAUGGUUUUGCUACGCUAAACAGAAGUGAUUGGUCUCCAUUUAUACAUCUGGACAAAAUAUUCUAACUACAGCCCAAGACCCAGUGAAAGAAGCGAAGUAACUAUGAAGCCCAAGAAGAUUUAAACAGAUCCUUCUUGUCAAAAUACAAGCUCAUGCAUUCCAUUUUCUGAUUCCUUUAUUUAACGCACAAGUAAACAAAGGUGAUUCACACAAAAGCCUGCUUAUAUGAUGUACGAACAAUAAACAGAAAGCUAUAAUCAUGUUUUUUCAGAUGUUUCCGGUGCACAACGAUUUUGGAUCGAUACUCUGUGUGUACAAAGCUUAGGAAAUGGCAUGUGAUAUCUUCUUAUGGAUACAUAUUUCAACAUUCCAUCACUUCUGUCAUUAUUAAUAAAAGG
This is a long non-coding RNA of Felis catus (domestic cat), 638 nucleotides long. RefSeq lists it as uncharacterized. The transcript has 5 exons. NCBI's taxonomy places the organism in Eukaryota, Metazoa, Chordata, Mammalia, Carnivora, Felidae. The record is from RefSeq and is a predicted model, not a curated record.